RNAcentral lists this ribosomal RNA (105 nucleotides) under Candidatus Brennerbacteria bacterium RIFOXYB1_FULL_41_13. RNAcentral also lists the same sequence under 2 other names. The record is from RNAcentral. Lineage: Bacteria; Candidatus Brenneribacteriota.
UCCCGUGACAAUAGUUUUCCGUGAACCACCUGUUCUCAUUCCGAACACAGUCGUGAAAGCGGUAAACGCCGAUGAUACUGAAUGGGAAAGUAGGUAUUGCGGGAU